RNAcentral lists this ribosomal RNA (447 nucleotides) under uncultured bacterium. RNAcentral's name for it is "partial 16S ribosomal RNA". It matches the Rfam family "Bacterial small subunit ribosomal RNA", at positions 29 to 523 of the family's 1533-position model. The record is from RNAcentral.
AGCGAACGCUGGCGGCAGGCUUAACACAUGCAAGUCGAGCGCCCCGCAAGGGGAGCGGCAGACGGGUGAGUAACACGUGGGAACGUGCCUUUUGGUUCGGAACAACCCAGGGAAACUUGGGCUAAUACCGGAUAAGCCCUUACGGGGAAAGAUUUAUCGCCAAAAGAUCGGCCCGCGUCUGAUUAGCUAGUUGGUGGGGUAAUAGCCCACCAAGGCUACGAUCAGUAGCUGGUCUGAGAGGAUGAUCAGCCACAUUGGGACUGAGACACGGCCCAAACUCCUACGGGAGGCAGCAGUGGGGAAUAUUGGACAAUUGGGGCAACCCUGAUCCAGCCAUGCCGCGUGAGUGAUGAAGGCCUUAGGGUUGUAAAGCUCUUUUAGCAGGGAAGAUAAUGACGGUACCUGCAGAAAAAGCCCCGGCUAACUUCGUGCCAGCCGCCGCGGUAA